RNAcentral lists this ribosomal RNA (273 nucleotides) under uncultured bacterium. RNAcentral's name for it is "partial 16S ribosomal RNA". It matches the Rfam family "Bacterial small subunit ribosomal RNA", at positions 524 to 796 of the family's 1533-position model. The record is from RNAcentral.
UACGUAGGUGGCAAGCGUUGUCCGGAAUUAUUGGGCGUAAAGCGCGCGCAGGCGGCCUUUUAAGUCUGAUGUGAAAGCCCCCGGCUUAACCGGGGAGGGUCAUUGGAAACUGGGAGGCUUGAGUGCAGAAGAGGAAAGUGGAAUUCCAAGUGUAGCGGUGAAAUGCGUAGAGAUUUGGAGGAACACCAGUGGCGAAGGCGACUUUCUGGUCUGUUACUGACGCUGAGGCGCGAAAGCGUGGGGAGCAAACAGGAUUAGAAACCCCCGUAGUCC